This is a non-coding RNA of Phoenix dactylifera (date palm), 1157 nucleotides long. Lineage: Eukaryota; Viridiplantae; Streptophyta; Magnoliopsida; Arecales; Arecaceae. The record is from RefSeq and is a predicted model, not a curated record.
UCUCUCUCUCUCUCUCUCAAUGGCAUCUCUUCUCCAAAAGCUCCUCAAAAGACUUCCCCCCAACCCUCCCCUUCGAAUCCUCGCAUCCUUUGCCAACCCCCAGCUCGCAAAUCCCCCGCUCCAUCCAUCCCUUCUCCACGACCCACUCCCCCGAACCAAUCCGAGCCCGAACCCUUCUUCCUUCCCUUCUCUUCCCGAUGGCUUCCGCCAAUCCCUCCAAUUUUACCCCGGCUUCCCCCAUUGUUUUGAUUUGAAUCCGGUCCCGAUCCGGAUUCGAUCGAUGCGAUGAGGAGAGUGACAGCGAUCCAGGGGUUGGUGAGGAGGGAUGCGAUCGCACGGUGUGGGCCGACAGUGUGAAGAAGAAAAGGAAGAGGAAGAUGAACAAGCACAAGUACAAGAAGCUGCGGAAGAGACUUCGGCGCAAGAAAUCUUGAUCUGGAAAGUGCUGCACGUCUUGAGGAAUAUAAGAAAUCAAUUGAUGGGAAACUUGCUCUCCGUCAUAGUAAUCUGAAUCCUGAAAGGCCUGGUAACUAUGUAGCGAAGCAUGUCAUCUUCAUAAUUUUUCUGUUGUUUUUUGACUGUAUUCUGCUAGAAAGUUAGGGAUUCAAGUUUAGGAUUAGUUACUACUAUUUCAUGAUUGUGUUAGAUGUCAAAAAGUUACAUGAGCCCUAUUACCUUGACAUUUAAUAAAACUAAAACAAAAUGAUCGAUGGACAUCCAGACAUCAGAAUUUGCCCCUCCGCAAAUGCAAGUGACAUACCCAAUAACAUUUUUAGAUGAGGAGAUGCAAUAUUUCAUCACAAGUGAUGGCAUGCAAAAAAUUGAUAGGUAUUUGGACUAUAUUAUUUUUUUUUCCAAUUCUGGUUGGGAUACCCCAAAAUUAUGAAGGGAAUUGAUCCUACUGGUCCUCACCUCAUCAGCUGAUAAGCAAACCAUUCUUUGUGUUGUUACAAAUUUUAUUAUUGAUGCUGUCAGAUGUCCCUAUGCAAGAAAAUAUGGAGUUUUGGAUUCACACAAAAAUUAAGGUUUUCUUUUUGCAUUCUAGUGAAAUUGGUCUUCUUAUGUGUGAAGUAUGGAAUUAAAAAUCUGAUACAAGAUCCCUUGUCCAUGUGCCUGAGUCCUGCACCCCCCCUCCAACCCACAAAAAAAAAAAGAAA